Ochotona princeps (American pika) is the source of this 131-nucleotide small nuclear RNA. Its record names the gene U4. It matches the Rfam family "U4 spliceosomal RNA". Rfam says of the family: U4 small nuclear RNA (U4 snRNA) is a component of the major U2-dependent spliceosome. The record is from Ensembl. Lineage: Eukaryota; Metazoa; Chordata; Mammalia; Lagomorpha; Ochotonidae.
AGCUUUGUGCAGUGGCUGUAUCAUAGGCAAUGAGGUUUAUCCAAGGCAUGAUUAUUGCUAAUUGAAAACUUUUUCCAAUACCCUGCCAUAACAGAAUCUGCAUUGGCAAUUUUUUGACAGUCUCCAUAGAA